This 72-nucleotide transfer RNA is filed under the name Nocardioides sp. Its description in RNAcentral is "tRNA-Val". It matches the Rfam family "tRNA". Rfam says of the family: Transfer RNA (tRNA) molecules are approximately 80 nucleotides in length. Their secondary structure includes four short double-helical elements and three loops (D, anti-codon, and T loops). Lineage: Bacteria; Bacillati; Actinomycetota; Actinomycetes; Propionibacteriales; Nocardioidaceae. RNAcentral also lists the same sequence under 5 other names. The record is from RNAcentral.
GGGCGCAUAGCUCAGCGGUAGAGCGCUUGCCUUACAAGCAAGAUGUCACAGGUUCGAUCCCUGUUGCGCCCA